GACGAACUGUCCUAACGUUGUUCGGAAUCAUUGGGCUUAAAGGGCGCGUAGGCGGCGCGGUAAGUCGGGUGUGAAAUCUCGGGGCUUAACUCCGAAACUGCAUUCGAUACUGCCGUGCUUGAGGACUGGAGAGGAGACUGGAAUUUACGGUGUAGCGGUGAAAUGCGUAGAUAUCGUAAGGAAGACCAGUGGCGAAGGCGGGUCUCUGGACAGUUCCUGACGCUGAGGCACGAAGGCCAGGGGAGCAAACGGG
RNAcentral lists this ribosomal RNA (253 nucleotides) under uncultured bacterium. RNAcentral's name for it is "partial 16S ribosomal RNA". It matches the Rfam family "Bacterial small subunit ribosomal RNA", at positions 524 to 776 of the family's 1533-position model. The record is from RNAcentral.